Molecule: ribosomal RNA, 301 nt
Filed under: uncultured bacterium
Lineage: Bacteria
Description: partial 16S ribosomal RNA
Rfam family: Bacterial small subunit ribosomal RNA
Source: RNAcentral
CAGCAGCCACGGUAAUACGAAGGGUGCAAGCGUUAAUCGGAAUUACUGGGCGUAAAGCGUGCGUAGGCGGUGAGUUAAGUCUGCUGUGAAAUCCCCGGGCUCAACCUGGGAAUGGCAGUGGAUACUGGCUCGCUAGAGUGUGUCAGAGGAUGGUGGAAUUCCCGGUGUAGCGGUGAAAUGCAUAGAGAUCGGAAGGAACAUCUGUGGCGAAGGCGACUAUCUGGGCCAACACUGACACUGAGGCACGAAAGCGUGGGGAGCAAACAGGAUUAGAUACCCCCGUAGUCCCUGUCUCUUAUAC